RNAcentral lists this long non-coding RNA (324 nucleotides) under Olea europaea (common olive). RNAcentral's name for it is "long non-coding RNA (OEUR_LNC000193)". The record is from RNAcentral. Lineage: Eukaryota; Viridiplantae; Streptophyta; Magnoliopsida; Lamiales; Oleaceae.
GGGGGUGUUAAAUGUGGCAUUAAUUUGUAAUCUUAGGAAAUAAAUAAGGUUACAUGCACUUGAAGAAAAUGUAUCAGGAAAAUACAUGAUGCACUUGAAGAAAAUGUAUCAGAAAAAUACAUGAUGCAAAUUCAUGAAUUAUUAGGUGUCCAUUUAUAUUCCCAUGUCUCUAGAGUUAUCCAUGUGGUCCUAUAAAUAGAGGUCAUUCUUGUAGUCUCAUUGUAAGAAAAAAAAGAAGAAAACAUUAUUGAGUGUGCUGUAGCAACUCAAAAACUAUCAAUAAAAAUUCAAGUUUUUCUUCAACACUUCGUUUCCGCACUAACA